This 1528-nucleotide ribosomal RNA is filed under the name Escherichia coli DEC1B. Its description in RNAcentral is "bacterial SSU rRNA". It matches the Rfam family "Bacterial small subunit ribosomal RNA". RNAcentral also lists the same sequence under 2 other names. The record is from RNAcentral. Lineage: Bacteria; Pseudomonadati; Pseudomonadota; Gammaproteobacteria; Enterobacterales; Enterobacteriaceae.
GAGUUUGAUCAUGGCUCAGAUUGAACGCUGGCGGCAGGCCUAACACAUGCAAGUCGAACGGUAACAGAAAGCAGCUUGCUGCUUUGCUGACGAGUGGCGGACGGGUGAGUAAUGUCUGGGAAACUGCCCGAUGGAGGGGGAUAACUACUGGAAACGGUAGCUAAUACCGCAUAACGUCGCAAGACCAAAGAGGGGGACCUUAGGGCCUCUUGCCAUCGGAUGUGCCCAGAUGGGAUUAGCUAGUAGGUGGGGUAACGGCUCACCUAGGCGACGAUCCCUAGCUGGUCUGAGAGGAUGACCAGCCACACUGGAACUGAGACACGGUCCAGACUCCUACGGGAGGCAGCAGUGGGGAAUAUUGCACAAUGGGCGCAAGCCUGAUGCAGCCAUGCCGCGUGUAUGAAGAAGGCCUUCGGGUUGUAAAGUACUUUCAGCGGGGAGGAAGGGAGUAAAGUUAAUACCUUUGCUCAUUGACGUUACCCGCAGAAGAAGCACCGGCUAACUCCGUGCCAGCAGCCGCGGUAAUACGGAGGGUGCAAGCGUUAAUCGGAAUUACUGGGCGUAAAGCGCACGCAGGCGGUUUGUUAAGUCAGAUGUGAAAUCCCCGGGCUCAACCUGGGAACUGCAUCUGAUACUGGCAAGCUUGAGUCUCGUAGAGGGGGGUAGAAUUCCAGGUGUAGCGGUGAAAUGCGUAGAGAUCUGGAGGAAUACCGGUGGCGAAGGCGGCCCCCUGGACGAAGACUGACGCUCAGGUGCGAAAGCGUGGGGAGCAAACAGGAUUAGAUACCCUGGUAGUCCACGCCGUAAACGAUGUCGACUUGGAGGUUGUGCCCUUGAGGCGUGGCUUCCGGAGCUAACGCGUUAAGUCGACCGCCUGGGGAGUACGGCCGCAAGGUUAAAACUCAAAUGAAUUGACGGGGGCCCGCACAAGCGGUGGAGCAUGUGGUUUAAUUCGAUGCAACGCGAAGAACCUUACCUGGUCUUGACAUCCACGGAAGUUUUCAGAGAUGAGAAUGUGCCUUCGGGAACCGUGAGACAGGUGCUGCAUGGCUGUCGUCAGCUCGUGUUGUGAAAUGUUGGGUUAAGUCCCGCAACGAGCGCAACCCUUAUCCUUUGUUGCCAGCGGUCCGGCCGGGAACUCAAAGGAGACUGCCAGUGAUAAACUGGAGGAAGGUGGGGAUGACGUCAAGUCAUCAUGGCCCUUACGACCAGGGCUACACACGUGCUACAAUGGCGCAUACAAAGAGAAGCGACCUCGCGAGAGCAAGCGGACCUCAUAAAGUGCGUCGUAGUCCGGAUUGGAGUCUGCAACUCGACUCCAUGAAGUCGGAAUCGCUAGUAAUCGUGGAUCAGAAUGCCACGGUGAAUACGUUCCCGGGCCUUGUACACACCGCCCGUCACACCAUGGGAGUGGGUUGCAAAAGAAGUAGGUAGCUUAACCUUCGGGAGGGCGCUUACCACUUUGUGAUUCAUGACUGGGGUGAAGUCGUAACAAGGUAACCGUAGGGGAACCUGCGGUUGGAUCACC